GGCGGCUCCGUGGCACACGGUUUCACAGAAAUGUUGGCAAAAAUAACCUCGCCGUUGCGUUAGACCCGCGUCAAAGCUGCCGCGCUGGCCAGCUGGGAGCCAGCCGGUCCCUUCCCUGCACCCGCUCCUCCUGUGGCAGGGCGCAUCUCCGCCUUCCUGGCGGGGCAGUUUCUUUUCGCAGUGCUUACUAGCGAUCGUGCCAAGCUCAAAGUGGGAGAAAAGGGAGGAAAUUACCAGGCUUCUGGGUUUUUCCCCUUCGGGUAAUACCCCCCGGCCCCCCAAAACCACAGAAGCGGCAACCACGAGGUACUAUCAAGAAAAAGAAAAGUGUCCAGUCGUGGACUUCUUUAUUCGGCCGCCUUUUCAACGGAAAUUUUGGUGAAGUAAAACAUAAGAUGAAGGAAGUACUAACUCGAUGUACCUACUCGAUAUGGUGUUCACAUGGAGCGACUGGAGCCCUGAAUAGAGUUGCAUCUUCUGACUUUCUAGCUGUGCUCUUCAUCCAGCUAAGUGCGAGAAGAACGAACUUUGCAAUGUGAAGAUGACACUAUGCUGAAGGCUAUCAAGAUCCUGUCAUUCCUGCAGAUAUAUGUGUAAACAUCUGCAGCAUAAAACAGCUCCAGAUGGGAAUUUUUACCAAGUUUUAGAAAAUGUGUCAGAGAGGGGGGUUGGAAAGGCAGACUGCUGAUGCUGGAGAAUUGCUUUCCUCAGAAACAUAGUGAUGUGAGCUCGCGACUAAAAUCUUCCCCCCCACACCCCCCGCCUCAUCUUCACCCUUGCUUGCUUGCCUUUUAGGCUGCCAGGACAUUGGUUUUCAAUUCAGUCAUGCUGAACAGGACUGACAGUCACCGUGACAAGAAAAUUUGCUUGGUCAGUACGUACAGCAACUACACUAGGAAGUUUUGGAGAUGUCUUGUCUCUUAACUGUAGAUGAAAAUCCAUGUGUGAAUUCUCAGUAUGGGCUCCUUUUUUGAAAGGCAGCAGAUGUCAAAAACAAUCUGGACAAGCUGUAGAUACUUCUGGAAGAGACACGGAAAAAAGAAAACAUAAGUCUGCCUGUGAUUCUUGCAAUGUAACACUCAGUAUCCCUAGAAAGCACGCUGACUGACACUGAAAGAGUAAAUAAAAUCCCUGAUUUCUGACAAUA
This is a long non-coding RNA of Aquila chrysaetos chrysaetos, 1147 nucleotides long. RefSeq lists it as uncharacterized. Lineage: Eukaryota; Metazoa; Chordata; Aves; Accipitriformes; Accipitridae. The transcript has 2 exons. The record is from RefSeq and is a predicted model, not a curated record.